This 805-nucleotide ribosomal RNA is filed under the name uncultured bacterium. RNAcentral describes it as "bacterial SSU rRNA". It matches the Rfam family "Bacterial small subunit ribosomal RNA", at positions 1 to 814 of the family's 1533-position model. The record is from RNAcentral.
GAAUUCGCCCUUAGAGUUUGAUCCUGGCUCAGGACGAACGCUGGCGGCGCGCCUAACACAUGCAAGUCGAACGAGCGAGAGAGAGCUUGCUUUCUCGAGCGAGUGGCGAACGGGUGAGUAACGCGUGAGGAACCUGCCUCAAAGAGGGGGACAACAGUUGGAAACGACUGCUAAUACCGCAUAAGCCCACGGGCCGGCAUCGACCAGAGGGAAAAGGAGCGAUCCGCUUUGAGAUGGCCUCGCGUCCGAUUAGCUAGUUGGUGAGGUAACGGCCCACCAAGGCGACGAUCGGUAGCCGGACUGAGAGGUUGAACGGCCACAUUGGGACUGAGACACGGCCCAGACUCCUACGGGAGGCAGCAGUGGGGAAUAUUGCACAAUGGGGGAAACCCUGAUGCAGCGACGCCGCGUGGAGGAAGAAGGUCUUCGGAUUGUAAACUCCUGUUGUUGGGGAAGAUAAUGACGGUACCCAACAAGGAAGUGACGGCUAACUACGUGCCAGCAGCCGCGGUAAAACGUAGGUCACAAGCGUUGUCCGGAAUUACUGGGUGUAAAGGGAGCGCAGGCGGGAAGACAAGUUGGAAGUGAAAUCUAUGGGCUCAACCCAUAAACUGCUUUCAAAACUGUUUUUCUUGAGUAGUGCAGAGGUAGGCGGAAUUCCCGGUGUAGCGGUGGAAUGCGUAGAUAUCGGGAGGAACACCAGUGGCGAAGGCGGCCUACUGGGCACCAACUGACGCUGAGGCUCGAAAGUGUGGGUAGCAAACAGGAUUAGAUACCCUGGUAGUCCACACCGUAAACGAUGAUU